RNAcentral lists this transfer RNA (75 nucleotides) under Methanobacteriota archaeon. Its description in RNAcentral is "Euryarchaeota archaeon tRNA-Arg(tcg)". It matches the Rfam family "tRNA". From Rfam's summary of the family: Transfer RNA (tRNA) molecules are approximately 80 nucleotides in length. Their secondary structure includes four short double-helical elements and three loops (D, anti-codon, and T loops). The record is from RNAcentral. Lineage: Archaea; Methanobacteriati; Methanobacteriota.
GGGCACUUAGGGUAGUCUGGAUAUCCUUUCGGCCUUCGGAGCCGAAGACGUGGGUUCGAAUCCUGCAGUGCCCGC